This 407-nucleotide ribosomal RNA is filed under the name uncultured rumen bacterium. RNAcentral's name for it is "bacterial SSU rRNA". It matches the Rfam family "Bacterial small subunit ribosomal RNA", at positions 509 to 916 of the family's 1533-position model. The record is from RNAcentral.
CAGCAGCCGCGGUAAUACGUAGGGUGCGAGCGUUAAUCGGAAUUACUGGGCGUAAAGCGUGCGCAGGCGGCUUUGCAAGACAGAGGUGAAAUCCCCGGGCUCAACCUGGGAACUGCCUUUGUGACUGCAAGGCUAGAGUACGGCAGAGGGGGAUGGAAUUCCGCGUGUAGCAGUGAAAUGCGUAGAUAUGCGGAGGAACACCGAUGGCGAAGGCAAUCCCCUGGGCCUGUACUGAUGCUCAUGCACGAAAGCGUGGGGAGCAAACAGGAUUAGAUACCCUGGUAGUCCACGCCCUAAACGAUGUCAACUGGUUGUUGGACGGCUUGCUGUUCAGUAACGAAGCUAACGCGUGAAGUUGACCGCCUGGGGAGUACGGCCGCAAGGUUGAAACUCAAAUGAAUUGACGG